Molecule: long non-coding RNA, 649 nt
Filed under: Manacus vitellinus (golden-collared manakin)
Lineage: Eukaryota; Metazoa; Chordata; Aves; Passeriformes; Pipridae
Description: lncRNA (ENSMVIG00005001659.1)
Source: RNAcentral
UGGAUGUUCUGUGCUGGCCCAGCCAAGGCAGGACCCUGAGAUUAGCUCAGUUGGUUAAAGCCCGGUGCUGAUAGUACCAAGGCUGUGGGUUUGAUCCCCAUGUGGGCCACUCACUUAAGAGCUGGACUCCAUAAUCCUUGUGGGUCCCUUCCAACUCAGAAUAUUCUGUUAUUCUAUGACGAGUGGGGUUUAUCCCACAGUGUGCAGGAGAAAGCAAAUGCACGCAGACCUCCAGUGGCCCUCCUGAGUACUACACGGCACUGUCGCUGCCACCCCAGGGACGGAGACCUCGCCUGGGGCAUCUCUUCUUGCUCUGCUACUGCAAGUUUUAUAAGGGAAAAACCAAGAGCAGUGCUGAACACAAAAGGGAAGAUCAGAGGAUUUGAGUUCAAGGCUUAGUGUCUAAUUUCAGCAAGUCCAAGUGAGGAUUGAAGCCUGCUGGUUCAGCACUUGGCUACCAGGAGGUCAUUGGAUGCCACUUUGAAACAGGCUCAAUGCUUAACAGUUAUUCUGCUGGGAUGAGGAGGAAUUUCAUCCACCUGUUUUGAGCAUGAGCACCUUGAAAAGUCAGCUGGCCCCUGCCUCCAACAUGAGGUCACUGCCAUAUCUGCAGGCUUCAGGAAACAUCAAUAAAUCACUCUGGCCCUGA